RNAcentral lists this unclassified non-coding RNA (1788 nucleotides) under Hevea brasiliensis (rubber tree). The record is from RNAcentral. Lineage: Eukaryota; Viridiplantae; Streptophyta; Magnoliopsida; Malpighiales; Euphorbiaceae.
AGUUGAUGAGGGGAUCAUGAACAAAUGCCUCCAUCAUUGCCAUCACACUAUCCUUGUUCGUCCGAAGAACUUGCAUCACAUUUUCACAAGUGGAGCGAAAGUUGCCCUCUAUACCACUAACUUCCAUAGCCUUUACAAGCAUUCUUGUCAAGCGGAAUGGAACCUUCUCAGGGAAUUUCUCCCGGUUCAUUGAAGCUUCAAAGCAGUCUCCAAAAUCAAUGUGCAAGAUCUUCCCACUAUAGCGGUGCAGCAUAAGGUUGCUUGGGUGUCGAUCACCUAAGCCAAGAAGGUAACCAACCAUGCUCAUGACUGCUAAACUUCUUGUGUAAUUUGUUCUCCUCUCCAACCAUACCUCAGAAGUGCGACUUUUUAACCAAAGAACCCUUGCUAGGUCAUUUCCUUCAGUAUUUUGCAAAGCAAAGUCAAAAACUUCCACCUUAGCUAUAAGUGGUAAAUGAUCAUAAUCUGGAGCAAAACUGAGCAUAUAUUUGUGCUCUUGAUUCAAAGUAAUCUUUCUAGCAUCCCUGUAUUCUCGAAUGAGCUGGUGUAGGGUGUCGCAAUUUGGAACCCAUCCAAUUAACCCACUGUUCGGAGAUAAUGGAAUGACAGCAUAUCGCUGAAUAGAUAGAUCCUUCUCCGAUGUUUUUCUUGAAUUCUCCAAAAGUGUAUUUACCAAACCAAAAAGCUGCAUAACACGCUCAUCUUGGCGCAGAUCUUCAUGUCCCUUCAGCAAGAAGGCAUAAUCUUCACCAUCACUCCCAUGAAUUGUCAAUUUUCGGGGUCGCUGUUUUGAUGUUAUUACAACAAGUUGGCGUGCAAAUGAUGCGAUUGUCACUACUGGUGAAUCAGCAAGAUAUGUGCCAGGAACAGCAAGCUCCAAAUUCCGGCAUUCUAACAGCUCCGGAGAAACAGACUGCAGAUCCAGGGUUGUAAGGCUUUGAAGCUGCUUGUCUAUCCGUCUGAAAACAUGAUAAUAUAGAUCCCAUGCCUGGGUAAGCUCAGCCUCUUUUAUAGUUCUCCUGUACUUCAUACAACAUUCCCAGGCCUCCAACAAUUCAUGGCGAUAUGCCUCAAUGAACGCUCUCUCCUUUACGGUGGUAUUCUCCCUCAUAGCACCUUCCUCUAGCAUUUCAUGCAAAGGUUCCAACACUUUCAGCAUGCCCUCAAUGUUAUGUUCACCAAAAUACAAACGACUGGCUUCUUCCAAUCCUUCAUGCCACAUUUCAUGCCAAAGAAUUGCUACCCUGAUUAGUUCCUUUGACACAAGUUGUGCCUGAUCCACCAGCACACCACUAUGCUGCCGAACUUUGUCUACCACUUCUUGAGCUGCUGCUCUACGUAAAUUGCUUAUAGAUUUACAUGCCACAAGAAGCGGAUACAUAAGAGCCUGGGGAUGACUUUGCCCAAUUCGCACCAAAAGUGAUUGUAUUAGUUCCCUCACAGCAUGAUUAUUUGAAUGAAUCCUGGCAAUUAUUUGAGGUAAAACAACCAGCCAUGUGUUGAUAUUAACAUGUGCAAAUCCAUUUUGCAGUGCCAUUUGAACUUCUGCAGUAGCUCCAUGGUUGAACCAUAAGGUAAGGAGACGAAGUAUAUCCUGUAAGCUAUCAUCCACCCCUUUCGCAUUUGCUGCACAAGCUAUUGAAUGAAAAUAUCCAGUAACAGCUGCAACAACGAACUGUGAGACAACAUUAGGAAACCCCCUCAUGGUAUAAUGAGACAUGACUGCUGUAUUGAACAAAGCCCAAGUGUGCCAUGCUUUCGCCCAUUUUGUUGCGCAUUGCGUGGCAU